RNAcentral lists this ribosomal RNA (229 nucleotides) under uncultured bacterium. Its description in RNAcentral is "partial 16S ribosomal RNA". It matches the Rfam family "Bacterial small subunit ribosomal RNA", at positions 568 to 796 of the family's 1533-position model. The record is from RNAcentral.
UGCGUAGGCGGACUAAUAAGUCAGUGGUGAAAUCUCUCGGCUCAACCGGGAGACUGCCAUUGAUACUGUUAGUCUUGAGUUCGGUUGAGGUAGGCGGAAUGUGUAAUGUAGCGGUGAAAUGCUUAGAUAUUACACAGAACACCAAUUGCGUAGGCAGCUUACUAGACCGACACUGACGCUGAGGCACGAAAGCGUGGGUAGCGAACAGGAUUAGAUACCCUGGUAGUCC